GUCCAGGGGGCCGCCUUCGCCACCGGUAUUCCUCCAGAUCUCUACGCAUUUCACCGCUACACCUGGAAUUCUACCCCCCUCUACAAGACUCUAGCCUGCCAGUUUCGAAUGCAGUUCCCAGGUUGAGCCCGGGGAUUUCACAUCCGACUUGACAGACCGCCUGCGUGCGCUUUACGCCCAGUAAUUCCGAUUAACGCUUGCACCCUCCGUAUUACCGCGGCUGCUGGCACGGAGUUAGCCGGUGCUUCUUCUGCGGGUAACGUCAAUCGACAAGGUUAUUAACCUUAUCGCCUUCCUCCCCGCUGAAAGUACUUUACAACCCGAAGGCCUUCUUCAUACACGCGGCAUGGCUGCAUCAGGCUUGCGCCCAUUGUGCAAUAUUCCCCACUGCUGCCUCCCGUAGGAGUCUGGACCGUGUCUCAGUUCCAGUGUGGCUGGUCAUCCUCUCAGACCAGCUAGGGAUCGUCGCCUAGGUGAGCCGUUACCCCACCUACUAGCUAAUCCCAUCUGGGCACAUCUGAUGGCAUGAGGCCCGAAGGUCCCCCACUUUGGUCUUGCGACAUUAUGCGGUAUUAGCUACCGUUUCCAGUAGUUAUCCCCCUCCAUCAGGCAGUUUCCCAGACAUUACUCACCCGUCCGCCGCUCGUCACCCGAGAGCAAGCUCUCUGUGCUACCGCUCGACUUGCAUGUGUUAGGCCU
RNAcentral lists this ribosomal RNA (699 nucleotides) under Klebsiella pneumoniae. RNAcentral describes it as "partial 16S rRNA". Lineage: Bacteria; Pseudomonadati; Pseudomonadota; Gammaproteobacteria; Enterobacterales; Enterobacteriaceae. The record is from RNAcentral.